Molecule: ribosomal RNA, 460 nt
Filed under: uncultured bacterium
Lineage: Bacteria
Description: partial 16S ribosomal RNA
Rfam family: Bacterial small subunit ribosomal RNA
Source: RNAcentral
CCUACGGGAGGCUGCAGUGAGGAAUAUUGGUCAAUGGACGAGAGUCUGAACCAGCCAAGUAGCGUGAAGGAUGACUGUUCUAUGGGUUGUAAACUUCUUUUAUAUGGAAAUAAAAUGUUUCACGUGUCGGUUUUUGUAUGUACCAUAUGAAUAAGGAUCGGCUAACUCAGUGCCAGCAGCCGCGGUCAUACGGAGGGUCCGAGCGUUAUCCGGAUUUAUUGGGUUUAAAGGGAGCGUAGGUGGAUUGUUAAGUCAGUUGUGAAAGUCUGCGGCUCAACCGUAGAAGGGCAGUUGAAACUGGCAGUCUUGAGUACAGUAGAGGUGGGCGGAAUUCGUGGUGUAGCGGUGAAAUGCUUAGAUAUCACGAAGAACUCCGAUUGCGAAGGCAGUUCACUGGACUGCAACUGACACUGAGGUUCGAAAGUGUGGGUAGCAAACAGGAUUAGAUACCCCUGUAGUC